CUGGCGGCAUGCCUUACACAUGCAAGUCGAACGGCAGCACGGGUGCUUGCACCUGGUGGCGAGUGGCGAACGGGUGAGUAAUAUAUCGGAACGUGCCCUAGAGUGGGGGAUAACGUAGCGAAAGUUACGCUAAUACCGCAUACGAUCUACGGAUGAAAGUGGGGGAUCGCAAGACCUCAUGCUCAUGGAGCGGCCGAUAUCUGAUUAGCUAGUUGGUGGGGUAAAAGCCUACCAAGGCGACGAUCAGUAGCUGGUCUGAGAGGACGACCAGCCACACUGGGACUGAGACACGGCCCAGACUCCUACGGGAGGCAGCAGUGGGGAAUUUUGGACAAUGGGGGCAACCCUGAUCCAGCAAUGCCGCGUGUGUGAAGAAGGCCUUCGGGUUGUAAAGCACUUUUGUCAGGAACGAAACGGUGGGGGCUAAUACCUUCUGCUAAUGACGGUACCUGAAGAAUAAGCACCGGCUAACUACGUGCCAGCAGCCGCGGUAAUACGUAGGGUGCGAGCGUUAAUCGGAAUUACUGGGCGUAAAGCGUGCGCAGGCGGUUGUGCAAGACAGAUGUGAAAUCCCCGGGCUCAACCUGGGAAUUGCAUUUGUGACUGCACGGCUAGAGUGUGUCAAAGGGGGUAGAAUUCCACGUGUAGCAGUGAAAUGCGUAGAUAUGUGGAGGAAUACCGAUGGCGAAGGCAGCCCCCUGGGAUAACACUGACGCUCAU
RNAcentral lists this ribosomal RNA (720 nucleotides) under uncultured beta proteobacterium. Its description in RNAcentral is "bacterial SSU rRNA". It matches the Rfam family "Bacterial small subunit ribosomal RNA", at positions 36 to 750 of the family's 1533-position model. Lineage: Bacteria; Pseudomonadati; Pseudomonadota; Betaproteobacteria. The record is from RNAcentral.